CGUUCAGUCAUUCUAUGCAU
This 20-nucleotide microRNA is filed under the name Ciona intestinalis (vase tunicate). RNAcentral describes it as "cin-miR-4043-5p". The record is from miRBase by way of RNAcentral. Lineage: Eukaryota; Metazoa; Chordata; Ascidiacea; Phlebobranchia; Cionidae.